AGCUCCAAUAGUGUAUAUUAAAGUUGCUGCGGUUAAAAUGCUCGUAGUUUAAUUUCUGCCGAGGCCGAUCGGUCCACCCACUGGGUGAGUUAUUGAUCGACUUCUGCAUAUUAACGAAUAAUGCCGUUGAACUUGAUUGUGAUGUGUGCCCUGUUCGUGUAAAUUACUUUGAGGAAAUUAGAGUGUUUCGAGCAUGCAUAUGCAUCGAGCACAUUAGCAUGGGAUGACGUACACUGAUUGCUGCUGUAUUUGUUUGGUCUUUAUGGCUGCGAUAAUUGAUGAUAGGGAUAAUUGGUGGCAUUCGCAUUUAAUAGUCAGAGGUGAAAUUCUUGGAUUUGUUAAAGACGAGCUGCUGCGAAAGCACUUGCCAAUUAUGUUU
RNAcentral lists this ribosomal RNA (379 nucleotides) under uncultured eukaryote. Its description in RNAcentral is "SSU rRNA". It matches the Rfam family "Eukaryotic small subunit ribosomal RNA", at positions 587 to 969 of the family's 1831-position model. The record is from RNAcentral.